GACGAACGCUGGCGGCGUGCUUAACACAUGCAAGUCGAACGGAAAGGCCCUGCUUUUGUGGGGUUCUCGAGUGGCGAACGGGUGAGUAACACGUGAGUAACCUGCCCUUGACUUUGGGAUAACUUCAGGAAACUGGGGCUAAUACCGGAUAGGAGCUCCUGCUGCAUGGGGGGGGUUGGAAAGUUUCGGCGGUUGGGGAUGGACUCGCGGCUUAUCAGCUUGUUGGUGGGGUAGUGGCUUACCAAGGCUUUGACGGGUAGCCGGCCUGAGAGGGUGACCGGCCACAUUGGGACUGAGAUACGGCCCAGACGCCUACGGGAGGCAGCAGUGGGGAAUAUUGCACAAUGGGCGGAAGCCUGAUGCAGCAACGCCGCGUGCGGGAUGACGGCCUUCGGGUUGUAAACCGCUUUCGCCUGUGACGAAGCGGGAGUGACGGUAAUGGGUAAAGAAGCACCGGCUAACUACGUG
Molecule: ribosomal RNA, 468 nt
Filed under: uncultured bacterium
Lineage: Bacteria
Description: partial 16S ribosomal RNA
Rfam family: Bacterial small subunit ribosomal RNA
Source: RNAcentral